RNAcentral lists this transfer RNA (73 nucleotides) under Mustela putorius furo (domestic ferret). It matches the Rfam family "tRNA". Rfam says of the family: Transfer RNA (tRNA) molecules are approximately 80 nucleotides in length. Their secondary structure includes four short double-helical elements and three loops (D, anti-codon, and T loops). Lineage: Eukaryota; Metazoa; Chordata; Mammalia; Carnivora; Mustelidae. RNAcentral also lists the same sequence under 1 other name. The record is from Rfam by way of RNAcentral.
ACCUGGCUGGCUCAGGUGGUAGAACAUGUGACUCUUGAUCUCAAGGUCAUGAGUUCAAGCCCCAUGUUUGGUG